UAUUAAAAAUUUUAUUUAUUUCUAUUGUUAAAAACAAGCGUAGCUGACAAAAUAGUCAAGUUAUACAUGACAUGUCAUGUGUACCUCAUUCUAAUAUACGAGGGCUAGUUUUUAACAAUAAAAAUGGAUGAUAUUUUUAACA
Molecule: non-coding RNA, 142 nt
Organism: Gossypium arboreum
Lineage: Eukaryota; Viridiplantae; Streptophyta; Magnoliopsida; Malvales; Malvaceae
Source: Rfam